This 1027-nucleotide long non-coding RNA is filed under the name Rhinopithecus bieti (black snub-nosed monkey). RNAcentral's name for it is "lncRNA (ENSRBIG00000045115.1)". Lineage: Eukaryota; Metazoa; Chordata; Mammalia; Primates; Cercopithecidae. The record is from RNAcentral.
ACGCUGCAGGGCUUGACGGAAGAGCUAAACCAUUUGCCUGGACGUUCUCCCUGCUAUUGUGAUCGGCCUCAUCUGUCUGAAACCUUGCUGACCCCAGCUUAUCUGGUGUUGGACCAAAUGGCCCCAGAGUCUCUGCAUCCUCUUCAGGGUGACCUGCGCAUAUCCUCUAUCCCUGCUCCUGCAAGCCACAGGCUGACCUACCUGGCCCUCAACUGCACGGGCCCUAAUGAGUUGAAAAGAGAGAAACUGGCCAGGUGCAGUGGCUCACAUCUGUCAUCCCAGUACCUUGGGAAACCGAGUUGGGCGGAUCACCUGAGGUUGCGAGUUUCAGACCAGCCUGACCAACAUGGCAAAACCUCGUCUCCACUAGAACUACAAAAAUUAGCUGGGCUUGGUGGUGGACGCCUAUAAUCCCAGCUACUUGGGAGGUUGAGGCAGAAGAAUCGCUUGAGCCCAGGAGGUGGAGGUUACAGUGAGCCGAGGUUGUGCCACUGCAUUCCAGCCUGGGUGACACAGCGAGGCCCUGUCUCAAAAAAGAAAAAAAAAAAAGAAGGGAGAGAAAAGAGAAAAGAGACAGAGACCAGGACUUUUCUCUCUGUCUUGCUGGAGCCUGUGCUGAACCCCGAAGCCUGCUGAUAGUUCUCCAAUUUCAUUUGGCAUUGAAGCCCCUGAAACUCCCGGGCUGCAGGUUGUAACUUGCAUCUUGGUCCUCUGUCUCCCACCUAUCAGAGGAAUACUUUCCAUGGGAAGAUACGGCCAUUUCUAGUCUUGGGCUCUCUUUUAAGGAUCAUCUUCACUGCAGAAGUCAAAGGAGACAGAGUAGUGUGAACAGAAGUCAACAGGGGAAACAGUUCACAGGGGCUCUUCCCUGCAGUCCCUAGGGGAAGGAUACUGUCAUUUUCCUCCAAAUAUUUUCAGAACAUUUUAAACGGUUUUGAGGACUUUAGAGAAAGUCCACACUUCUUCUCUAUUCUAUUCCUCCCUUGCUUGAGCUCCUUAGGGGCUUUCCUCUCUUUUCAGUUUCAGC